UCGCCACUAGUUUGUCUGCGAUGCCAGA
This 28-nucleotide small RNA is filed under the name Bombyx mori (domestic silkworm). RNAcentral's name for it is "ovarian small RNA-28666". Lineage: Eukaryota; Metazoa; Arthropoda; Insecta; Lepidoptera; Bombycidae. The record is from RNAcentral.